RNAcentral lists this ribosomal RNA (254 nucleotides) under uncultured bacterium. Its description in RNAcentral is "partial 16S ribosomal RNA". It matches the Rfam family "Bacterial small subunit ribosomal RNA", at positions 524 to 776 of the family's 1533-position model. The record is from RNAcentral.
UACGUAGGGUGCAAGCGUUAAUCGGAAUUACUGGGCGUAAAGCGUGCGCAGGCGGUUUUGUAAGUCUGUCGUGAAAGCCCCGGGCUCAACCUGGGAAUUGCGAUGGAGACUGCAAGGCUAGAAUCUGGCAGAGGGGGGUAGAAUUCCACGUGUAGCAGUGAAAUGCGUAGAGAUGUGGAGGAACACCGAUGGCGAAGGCAGCCCCCUGGGUCAAGAUUGACGCUCAUGCACGAAAGGCGUGGGGAGCAAACAGG